This 89-nucleotide transfer RNA is filed under the name Gemmatimonadota bacterium. Its description in RNAcentral is "Gemmatimonadetes bacterium tRNA-Leu". It matches the Rfam family "tRNA". From Rfam's summary of the family: Transfer RNA (tRNA) molecules are approximately 80 nucleotides in length. Their secondary structure includes four short double-helical elements and three loops (D, anti-codon, and T loops). The record is from RNAcentral. Lineage: Bacteria; Pseudomonadati; Gemmatimonadota.
GCCGGGGUGGCGGAAUUGGUAGACGCAAGGGACUUAAAAUCCCUCGUUCCGUUGUGAACGUGCCGGUUCGAUUCCGGCCCUCGGCACCA